This 200-nucleotide ribosomal RNA is filed under the name uncultured organism. RNAcentral describes it as "partial small subunit ribosomal RNA". It matches the Rfam family "Bacterial small subunit ribosomal RNA", at positions 1185 to 1382 of the family's 1533-position model. The record is from RNAcentral.
UCAAGUCAGCAUGGCCUUUAUGUCCAGGGCGACACACACGCUACAAUGGCCAGUACAAAGGGCAGCGAAGGGGCGACCUGGAGCGAAUCUCAACAAAGCUGGUCGUAGUUCGGAUUGCAGGCUGCAACUCGCCUGCAUGAAGCUGGAGUUGCUAGUAACCGCAGGUCAGCCAUACUGCGGUGAAUACGUUCCCGGGCCUU